RNAcentral lists this ribosomal RNA (492 nucleotides) under uncultured bacterium. RNAcentral's name for it is "partial 16S ribosomal RNA". It matches the Rfam family "Bacterial small subunit ribosomal RNA", at positions 29 to 507 of the family's 1533-position model. The record is from RNAcentral.
AGUGAACGCUGGCGGUAGGCCUAACACAUGCAAGUCGAACGGCAGCACAGUAAGAGCUUGCUCUUACGGGUGGCGAGAGGCGGACGGGUGAGGAAUACAUCGGAAUCUACUUUUUCGUGGGGGAUAACGUAGGGAAACUUACGCUAAUACCGCAUACGACCUACGGGUGAAAGCAGGGGAUCUUCGGACCUUGCGCGAUUGAAUGAGCCGAUGUCGGAUUAGCUAGUUGGCGGGGUAAAGGCCCACCAAGGCGACGAUCCGUAGCUGGUCUGAGAGGAUGACCAGCCACACUGGAACUGAGACACGGUCCAGACUCCUACGGGAGGCAGCAGUGGGGAAUAUUGGACAAUGGGCGCAAGCCUGAUCCAGCCAUACCGCGUGGGUGAAGAAGGCCUUCGGGUUGUAAAGCCCUUUUGUUGGGAAAGAAAAGCAGCAGGUUAAUACCCCGCUGUUCUGACGGUACCCAAAGAAUAAGCACCGGCUAACUUCGUG